GCAGCGAAAUGCGAUAAGUAAUGUGAAUUGCAGAAUUCAGUGAAUCAUCGAAUCUUUGAACGCANCUUGCGCUCCUUGGUAUUCCUCGGAGCAUGCCUGUUUGAGUAUCAUGAAAUUCUCAAAGCAAGUCUUUUGUUAAUUCGAUCGGCUUUGUUUUGGACUUGGAGGUUUGCAGAUUCACGUCUGCUCCUCUUAAAUAAAUUAGCUGGAUCUCCAUGAACUUGGUUCCACUCAGCGUGAUAAGUAUCAUUCGCUGAGGACACCCGUAAAAAAGGUGGCCAGGGUUGAGGAUGAGCCGCUUCUAACAGUCCAUUCGAUUGGACAAUUAAAUUUAUGAUCUGAUCUCAAAUCAGGUAGGACUACCCGCUGAACUUAAGCAUAUCAAUAAGCGGAGGAAAAGAAACUAACAAGGAUUCCCCUAGUAACGGCGAGUGAAGCGGGAAGAGCUCAAAUUUAAAAUCUGGCGGUGUAUUCCGUCCGAGUUGUAGUCUAGAGAAGCAUCAUCCGCGCCGGACCAUGUACAAGUCUCUUGGAACAGAGCGUCAUAGAGGGUGAGAAUCCCGUCCUUGACAUGGACUCCCGGUGCUUUGUGUUGAGCUCUCAACGAGUCGAGUUGUUUGGGAAUGCAGCUCAAAAUGGGUGGUAAAUUCCAUCUAAAGCUAAAUAUUGGCGAGAGACCGAUAGCGAACAAGUACCGUGAGGGAAAGAUGAAAAGCACUUUGGAGAGAGAGUUAAACAGUACGUGAAAUUGUUGAAAUGGAAACGCUUGAAGUCAGUCGCGUUCUCUGGGAUUCAGCCUUGCUUUUGCUUGGUGCACUUCCUAGUCUACGGGCCAGUAUGAAUUUCGACCGAUAGAAAAGGGCUGGAGGAAUGUGGCACCUUCGGGUGUGUUAUAGCCUCCUGUCGCAUGUGUCGGUUGGGAUUGAGGAUCUUAGUGCAC
This 940-nucleotide ribosomal RNA is filed under the name Ophiostoma sp. X ES-1996. RNAcentral describes it as "eukaryotic LSU rRNA". The stretch from base 340 to 940 matches the Rfam family "Eukaryotic large subunit ribosomal RNA", at positions 1 to 603 of the family's 3401-position model. Lineage: Eukaryota; Fungi; Ascomycota; Sordariomycetes; Ophiostomatales; Ophiostomataceae. The record is from RNAcentral.